Cyprinus carpio (common carp) is the source of this 653-nucleotide long non-coding RNA. RefSeq lists it as uncharacterized. The transcript is spliced from 3 exons. NCBI's taxonomy places the organism in Eukaryota, Metazoa, Chordata, Actinopteri, Cypriniformes, Cyprinidae. The record is from RefSeq and is a predicted model, not a curated record.
AGAGCGCCAAUUCAUUGAUUCACUAUGGCAAACAGCGAAUGCAGACAGUCAUCAUAUUUCACGCACCUGGAACUGGAGAUACUCUUAAAAGCAACACAGCUGCCUCUGCAAAGGCAAGACAGGAAUCAUGGGAGUCGAUUGCUACCCGAGUCAAUGCCUUGUCUACAGCAUGGUGACAAUGACUAUAGUGAUGCUGACUAUGGUGCUGGUUGUGUUCGUCUUGAUGAGGACACUGUCAGAGACGACACUUCAGGGCCUACAGAUGUAUCAACCUCGUUUGUCUUGCAUCUCUAGCAUGCCAGGACCAGCCAUCAAUGAGCACAACACAUAUGAAGACUUUGAGAUGUUAUUUAUGUUCCUGGUUCUAAUUAUACAAUGCAAGUACAAUGUCACUGUAAAGUGAAUACCAUCCCUGUUUUCCCCCAGUUACCUGUAAAGGACUUGUUUAAAGAGCACUUUUUUGAAGCAGAAAGAGAAACCAAUCUGUUAAAGAUUAUUAUAAAAAAAAAAAAAAAACAUUUGGAAAUUCAUGUACUGCAACACCAGCUAGAGAUGGGUAUACAGUAUGGUCAUGGUUACAUUGUGUGAUAUGAUGGAACAAUAUAAUAAAUGUCCCAUUUCUGUUUUAGGAAAUAAACAACAGAUGAUCACUA